UAUUGUUUCACAGUCGAUAAACUUUUUGCUAAGGUAAAUUGCAUGCUCUUUUCGACAAGACUCGCCAUGCUGACCCAAUACACCUCAUAGACCCCUCGAAGGCCGUCAAGUACAGAUUGACAAUUGCUCUUUCCACAGGAGGUAUCAGAAUCAGAGGUUCCUGCAACUUAUCUUUUUAUUUUUCAAUGCCCCUUGGCAAUCCUUAUUUCACCUGACCGUUUGAUCUUUUUUUUCAACAUCUUGAAUAUGGGUUCACACGUGGCUGUUAGAUAAGAUGUGAACCAUGACAGGUAGUCCAAUCUUUCUAAGAAACCACGAACCUCUUUUUCUAUUUUUCCUCGGUUCAGGCAUUUUUUCUUUCUUUUUUUUUUUUUUUUAAGCAGGACCAACCUCGAUUCCUCUCUUAUAAUGAACCCCAACAUCUUACCGGAUCGCACUCUGAUAGUGCACUUACUCGAAUUCAACCUCAGUCUGAAUUAUCUCCACCAGAUGCCCCUCUUCUGUCUUGGACUUUGCUAUCAUGUCAUAGCAUUCGAUAUCAUGAUGAGUCACAUCAUGAAACAAAGUCACCAUGGCUCUCAGAUACAGGCACGGGCGUUCUGCUUCUCUAGAGGACAGUCUUCUUUCCAUAGUAGCUUGAGCAUAAUGAUAUCGGUAUCUGUCCCGGCAUACCCUGACAUG
This 681-nucleotide long non-coding RNA is filed under the name Lathyrus oleraceus (garden pea). RNAcentral describes it as "Pisum sativum (pea) long non-coding RNA (PSAT_LNC027589)". The record is from RNAcentral. Lineage: Eukaryota; Viridiplantae; Streptophyta; Magnoliopsida; Fabales; Fabaceae.